GACGAACGCUGGCGGCGUGCUUAACACAUGCAAGUCGAACGGAAAGGCCCUGCUUUUGUGGGGUGCUCGAGUGGCGAACGGGUGAGUAACACGUGAGUAACCUGCCCUUGACUUUGGGAUAACUUCAGGAAACUGGGGCUAAUACCGGAUAGGAGCUCCUGCUGCAUGGUGGGGGUUGGAAAGUUUCGGCGGUUGGGGAUGGACUCGCGGCUUAUCAGCUUGUUGGUGGGGUAGUGGCUUACCAAGGCUUUGACGGGUAGCCGGCCUGAGAGGGUGACCGGCAAAAUGGGGAUUGGGAUAGGCCCCAGACGCCAGCGGGAGGCAGAAGGGGGAAUUAUGGAAAAAGGGGCGGAGGCGUGAUGCAGCACCCCCGGGGGCGGGAGGAGGGCUUGGGGUUUGUAAACCGCUUCCGCCGGGGACGAAGGGGGAGGGACGGUAAUGGAAAAAGAAGCCCCGGCUAACUACGUG
This 468-nucleotide ribosomal RNA is filed under the name uncultured bacterium. RNAcentral describes it as "partial 16S ribosomal RNA". It matches the Rfam family "Bacterial small subunit ribosomal RNA", at positions 28 to 507 of the family's 1533-position model. The record is from RNAcentral.